AUGAUGAAGAUGAUGAAUGGUGCGUUGCUGAACGGUUAUGAUGAUGAAAACGCGACGAAGAUGAUGAAGUGUGGUAGUUGUUGCGAAUACAGGGAGAAGAGAAAGUGCAUAGGUGAAGCUUGGCACGAGAAGAUGAGAGAGCUUAGAGAGAACUUUGAGAGAUUUCUUUGUGAUGAUUCUCCAGAGAUUGAAGAAUUAUGGAAGGUUGAAGAAGAAAACAGAGAGAAGAUAUGA
Non-coding RNA from Vicia faba (fava bean), 234 nucleotides. NCBI's taxonomy places the organism in Eukaryota, Viridiplantae, Streptophyta, Magnoliopsida, Fabales, Fabaceae. The record is from the annotation of a GenBank genome assembly.